This 468-nucleotide ribosomal RNA is filed under the name uncultured bacterium. RNAcentral's name for it is "partial 16S ribosomal RNA". It matches the Rfam family "Bacterial small subunit ribosomal RNA", at positions 28 to 507 of the family's 1533-position model. The record is from RNAcentral.
GACGAACGCUGGCGGCGUGCUUAACACAUGCAAGUCGAACGGAAAGGCCCUGCUUUUGUGGGGUGCUCGAGUGGCGAACGGGUGAGUAACACGUGAGUAACCUGCCCUUGACUUUGGGAUAACUUCAGGAAACUGGGGCUAAUACCGGAUAGGAGCUCCUGCUGCAUGGUGGGGGUUGGAAAGUUUCGGCGGUUGGGGAUGGACUCGCGGCUUAUCAGCUUGUUGGUGGGGUAGUGGCUUACCAAGGCUUUGACGGGUAGCCGGCCUGAGAGGGUGACCGGCCACAUUGGAACUAAGAUACGGCCCAGACGCCUACGGGAGGCAGAAGUGGGGAAUAUUGCACAAUGGGCGGAAGCCUGAUGCAGCAACGCCGCAUGCGGGAUAACGGCCUUCGGGUUGUAAACCGCUUUCGCAUGUAACGAAGCGUGAGUGACGGUAAUGGGUAAAGAAGCACCGGCUAACUACGUG